RNAcentral lists this non-coding RNA (22 nucleotides) under Arabidopsis thaliana (thale cress). The record is from RNAcentral. Lineage: Eukaryota; Viridiplantae; Streptophyta; Magnoliopsida; Brassicales; Brassicaceae.
ACUGAACCAUCACAUAUGACGC